RNAcentral lists this ribosomal RNA (876 nucleotides) under Triticum aestivum (bread wheat). RNAcentral's name for it is "partial small subunit ribosomal RNA". Lineage: Eukaryota; Viridiplantae; Streptophyta; Magnoliopsida; Poales; Poaceae. The record is from RNAcentral.
AUGGCGGCGGAGUCGGCAGGCGGCGAAGCCGGCCGUCCGGGUCGCGGCGGAGACGGCGGGCGGCGAAGCCGGCAGUCCGGGUCGCUGCAGAGACGGCGGGCGGCGAAGCCGGCAGUCCCGGUAGCGGCGGAGACGGCGGGCAGCGAAGCCGGCCGUCCGGGUCGCGGCGGAGACUGCGGGCGACGAAGCCGGCAGUCCGGGUCGCAGCGGAGACGACGGGCGGCGAAGCCGGCAGUCCGGGUCGCGGCAGAGACGGCGGGCGAUGAAGCUGGCAGUGGGCGCGGUCGGGACACGGGAUCCGGCGGGUGGCACAGGAGCCGGCCCUGGCCGGGCGCGCGGAACGGAGGCGGAGUCGACAGGGGAGCGACGUGCAACUGUGGCCUGCUCAGCCACACCGCAGCAGCCGUGGCAGGGAACCACUCGGGGCGGAGGAGACCUCGAUCCAGAGGAGUGUCACGGGAGGAGGCUCACAGGUGGACGAGGGGGCGGAGGCCGGCCCACGGCGACCAGGAGGACGGAGGCGGAGGCGGACGGAGGAGUCUCUCGGAGCUACGGGUGGCGCAGGAGGAGGCUGGACCUGGUGCGUGGAGCCGGCAGCCAGCGCCUGGGAGGCGUGGAACCGGCCGGGAGCGGAGACGGCGUGGGAUGAGGCCCGACGCGCGGGACACAGGCGCGGAACAGCCGGCCUCUGCACAUGGGCGCAGCAGUCCAGCCGCGCUGGGGGCGGAGCAAGCAGCCGUGACAUGGCCGGGGCGCAGCGGCUCCGGCGCCGCGGGUGGGAGUCACGACGAGCAGCCACGGGGCCGCGGGCGCAGGCGCUCGGCCGUUGCUGCUGCUGAAAGCUCGAAGACUAUUGUAUGGAUAGUGCGUGGCUAG